UACGUAGGUGGCAAGCGUUGUCCGGAUUUAUUGGGUUUAAAGGGUGCGUAGGCGGUCCCAUAAGUCAGUGCUGAAAUAUCCCGGCUUAACCGGGAGGGUGGCAUUGAUACUGUGGGACUUGAGUAAAGUUGAGGUUGGCGGAAUUGACGGUGUAGCGGUGAAAUGCUUAGAUAUCGUCAAGAACACCUAUUGCGAAGGCAGCUAACUAAGCUUUAACUGACGCUGAGGCCCGAAAGUGUGGGGAUCAAACAGG
This 253-nucleotide ribosomal RNA is filed under the name uncultured bacterium. Its description in RNAcentral is "partial 16S ribosomal RNA". It matches the Rfam family "Bacterial small subunit ribosomal RNA", at positions 524 to 776 of the family's 1533-position model. The record is from RNAcentral.